RNAcentral lists this ribosomal RNA (469 nucleotides) under uncultured bacterium. RNAcentral describes it as "bacterial SSU rRNA". It matches the Rfam family "Bacterial small subunit ribosomal RNA", at positions 331 to 792 of the family's 1533-position model. The record is from RNAcentral.
CCAGACUCCUACGGGAGGCAGCAGUGGGGGAUAUUGCACAAUGGGGGCAACCCUGAUGCAGCGACGCCGCGUGAGCGAUGGAGUACUUCGGUAUGUAAACCUCUGUCAGCAGGGAAGAACGGUCACUGUGCUAAUCAGCAGUGAAUUGACGGUACCUGCAAAGGAAGCACCGGCUAACUCCGUGCCAGCAGCCGCGGUAAUACGGAGGGUGCGAGCGUUAAUCGGAAUUACUGGGCGUAAAGCGCUCGUAGGCGGUAUGUCAAGUCAAGGGUGAAAUCCCCGCGCUCAACGUGGGAACUGCCUUUGAAACUGGCAAACUGGAGUGUGUGAGAGGAUAGUGGAAUUCCAGGUGUAGGAGUGAAAUCCGUAGAUAUCUGGAGGAACAUCAGUGGCGAAGGCGACUCCCUGGCACAUAACUGACGCUGAGGAGCGAAAGCGUGGGUAGCAAACAGGAUUAGAUACCCGAGUA